UCUUAAGUAGUAUAGUGGUUAGUAUUCAUGCCCGUCAUGAUCCGCAACUCUAGAUUGUGCAAGACCGGGGUUCAAUUUCUCGCCUGAGAG
Non-coding RNA from Sphaerobolus stellatus SS14, 90 nucleotides. The record is from the annotation of a GenBank genome assembly. Lineage: Eukaryota; Fungi; Basidiomycota; Agaricomycetes; Geastrales; Sphaerobolaceae.